Molecule: ribosomal RNA, 319 nt
Filed under: uncultured Treponema sp.
Lineage: Bacteria; Pseudomonadati; Spirochaetota; Spirochaetia; Treponematales; Treponemataceae
Description: bacterial SSU rRNA
Rfam family: Bacterial small subunit ribosomal RNA
Source: RNAcentral
AACGAACGCUGGCGGCGCGUCUUAAGCAUGCAAGUCGAGCGGUAAGAUGGAAGCUUGCUUCUAUCCUAGAGCGGCGGACUGGUGAGUAACGCGUGGGUGACGUACCUUUGUGACGGGGACAGCUCCUAGAAAUAGGAGAUAAUACCGGAUACGCUGCAGCAUGUCAGAGGUGCUGCAGGAAAGGAUCUUUUGAUUCGCACAGAGAGCGGCCCGCGUACUAUUAGCUAGUUGGUGAGGUAACGGCCCACCAAGGCGACGAUAGUUACCCGGCCUAAGAGGGUGAUCGGGCACAUUGGGACUGAGAUACGGCCCAGACUCC